RNAcentral lists this ribosomal RNA (253 nucleotides) under uncultured bacterium. RNAcentral's name for it is "partial 16S ribosomal RNA". It matches the Rfam family "Bacterial small subunit ribosomal RNA", at positions 524 to 776 of the family's 1533-position model. The record is from RNAcentral.
UACGAACCGUACAAACGUUAUUCGGAAUCACUGGGCUUAAAGGGUGCGUAGGCGGCCAUGUAAGUGGGGUGUGAAAUCCCUCGGCUCAACCGAGGAACUGCGCUCCAUACUGCAUGGCUUGAGGGAGACAGGGGUAAGCGGAACUGAUGGUGGAGCGGUGAAAUGCGUUGAUAUCAUCAGGAACACCGGUGGCGAAAGCGGCUUACUGGGUCUCUUCUGACGCUGAGGUACGAAAGCGUGGGGAGCGAACAGG